This 84-nucleotide transfer RNA is filed under the name Pholiota conissans. It matches the Rfam family "tRNA". Rfam says of the family: Transfer RNA (tRNA) molecules are approximately 80 nucleotides in length. Lineage: Eukaryota; Fungi; Basidiomycota; Agaricomycetes; Agaricales; Strophariaceae. The record is from Rfam by way of RNAcentral.
UCCCUCUUAGCUCAGUGGUAGAGCGCGUCACUAGUACACAUAAAGUGUAUGACGAGGUCAGUCGUUCAAGUCGGCUAGAGGGAA